This is a non-coding RNA of Haemonchus placei, 76 nucleotides long. NCBI's taxonomy places the organism in Eukaryota, Metazoa, Nematoda, Chromadorea, Rhabditida, Trichostrongylidae. The record is from Rfam.
GGCCCAAAUUUGAAGUAGAGUAGAUUAGUAGUAUCAGCUGACCCUACUAAACUACUCUACUUCGAGUUUAGGGCCC